CUUGAUAUUUAUAGCGCAGUAGAACCACUCCAAUCCAUCUCGAACUUGGUUGUGAAAUGCUGUAGCGGCGAUGAUACUGAAAAGGAGGCUUUUUGGGAAAGUAGUUCAAUGUCAAG
RNAcentral lists this ribosomal RNA (116 nucleotides) under Spyridia filamentosa. The record is from RNAcentral. Lineage: Eukaryota; Rhodophyta; Florideophyceae; Ceramiales; Spyridiaceae.